AUUGAACGCUGGCGGCAUGCCUAACACAUGCAAGUCGAGCGAGCGGCGGACGGGUGAGUAAUGUAUGGGGAUCUGCCCGAUCGCGAGGGAUAAGUACUGGCAACGGUGGCUAAUACCGCAUACUACAGGAUGAACCCAGAUGGGAUUAGCUAGUAGGUGGGGUAAAGGCGAACCUAGGCUACCAUCACUAGCUGGUCUGAGAGGAUGAUCGCCAAAACUGGGAUGGAGAAACGGCCAAGACUCCUACGGGAGGAAGCAGUGGGGAAUAUUGCAAAAUGGGCGCAAGCCUGAUGCAGGCAGGCCGCGUGUAUGAAGAAGGCCUUAGGGUGGUAAACUACUUUCAGCGGGGAGGCGGUACCCGCAGAAGAAGCACCGGCUAACUCCGUGCCAGCAGCCGCGGUAAUUC
RNAcentral lists this ribosomal RNA (406 nucleotides) under uncultured bacterium. RNAcentral's name for it is "partial 16S ribosomal RNA". It matches the Rfam family "Bacterial small subunit ribosomal RNA", at positions 29 to 526 of the family's 1533-position model. The record is from RNAcentral.